This 72-nucleotide transfer RNA is filed under the name Camelus bactrianus (Bactrian camel). It matches the Rfam family "tRNA". From Rfam's summary of the family: Transfer RNA (tRNA) molecules are approximately 80 nucleotides in length. Their secondary structure includes four short double-helical elements and three loops (D, anti-codon, and T loops). Lineage: Eukaryota; Metazoa; Chordata; Mammalia; Artiodactyla; Camelidae. The record is from Rfam by way of RNAcentral. RNAcentral also lists the same sequence under 1 other name.
GAGGGUAUAGCUCAGAGGUAAAGUACGGGCUUAGCAUGCACGAGGUCCUGGGUUCAAUCCCUAGUACCUCCA